RNAcentral lists this ribosomal RNA (253 nucleotides) under uncultured bacterium. RNAcentral's name for it is "partial 16S ribosomal RNA". It matches the Rfam family "Bacterial small subunit ribosomal RNA", at positions 524 to 776 of the family's 1533-position model. The record is from RNAcentral.
UACGUGGGGAGCAAGCGUUGUUCGGAUUUACUGGGCGUAAAGGGCGCGUAGGCGGUAGCACAAGUCAGUUGUGAAAUCUCCGGGCUUAACUCGGAAAGGUCAACUGAUACUGUGCGACUAGAGUGCAGAAGGGGCAACUGGAAUUCUCGGUGUAGCGGUGAAAUGCGUAGAUAUCAGGAGGAACACCAAUGGCGAAGGCAGCUCGCUGGAACGGUACUGACGCUGAGGCGCGAAAGCGUGGGGAGCGAACAGG